AGAGUUUGAUCCUGGCUCAGAACGAACGCUGGCGGCGUGCUUAACACAUGCAAGUCGAGUGCGCGUUUCUGUAGCAAUACAACUGGCGCACGGCGCACGGGUGCGUAACACGUGGGCAAUCUGCCCUUCGAUGGGGAAUAACUCCGGGAAACCGAAGCUAAUUCCGCAUAACAUUCCUUGGACCUCGGUUCGAGGACUCAAAGCCGUAAGGCGUCGAAGGAGGAGCCCGCGCACGAUUAGCUAGUUGGUAGGGUAACGGCCUACCAAGGCUUUGAUCGUUAGCUGGUCUGAGAGGAUGGCCAGCCACACUGGAACUGAGACACGGUCCAGACUCCUACGGGAGGCAGCAGUGGGGAAUCUUGCACAAUGGGCGAAAGCCUGAUGCAGCGACGCCGCGUGGGGGAUGAAGCAUCUCGGUGUGUAAACCCCUUUCGACCCGGACGAAUGCCUCGCAAGAGGAGUGACGGUACGGGUAUAAGAAGCCCCGGCUAACUACGUGCCAGCAGCCGCGGUAAGACGUAGGGGGCCAGCGUUGUUCGGAAUUACUGGGUGUAAAGGGUCAGUAGGCGGUGUGGCAAGUCGGGAGUGAAAUCUCUGGGCUCAACCCAGAGGCUGCUUCCGAAACUGCCGUGCUAGAGUGUGGGAGAGGCGCGUGGAAUUGCAGGUGUAGCGGUGAAAUGCGUAGAUAUCUGCAGGAACACCCGUGGCGAAAGCGGCGCGCUGGACCACAACUGACGCUGAAUGACGAAAGCUAGGGGAGCAAACAGGAUUAGAUACCCUGGUAGUCCUAGCCCUAAACGAUCAGGACUUGGGGUGCCGCACGUUCGUGCGUCGUCCCGGAGCUAACGCGUUAAGUCCUGCACCUGGGGAGUACGGUCGCAAGACUGAAACUCAAAGGAAUUGACGGGGGCCGCACAAGCGUGAACAUGUGGUCAUUCGACGCUACGCGAGACUACUGGGCUCGAGCGCACCUGACUAGCUGUAGAAAUACGCUCCCGCAGGAAGGUGUGGAGGCCCUGCAUGCUGUUCGUCAGCUCUGCAUGGAGGUGUUGGUUAGUCCCGCAACGAGGCCACCUUGACGUAUUUGCACUCCGAGGAGGAACUCUAGUGAACUGCUCGGAUACGGAAGAAAAUGUGUGGCGAUC
This 1145-nucleotide ribosomal RNA is filed under the name uncultured bacterium. Its description in RNAcentral is "bacterial SSU rRNA". It matches the Rfam family "Bacterial small subunit ribosomal RNA", at positions 8 to 1187 of the family's 1533-position model. The record is from RNAcentral.